AUCCUGGCUCAUGUAAAACGCCGGCCGGCAGGCUUAACCAUGCAAGUCGACCGGGAAGUGGUGUUUCCAGUGGCGCACGGGUGAGUAACGCGUAAGAACCUGGCCCUUGGGAGGGACACAACUGGACGGUUGCUAAUACCCCGUAGGCUGAGGAUCAAAAGAGAAUCCGCCCAAGAGGGCUCGCGUCUGAUUGCUAUUGUGAGGCAAUAGCGUACCAAGGCGAUAUCAUAGCUGGUCGAAGGAUGAUCAGACCCACUGGACUGAGACCGGCCCAGACCUCCUACGGGCGUCAUCAUGGUGGAAUUUUUCCGCAUGGGCGAAACCGGACGAGCAAAUGCCGCGUGGAGUGGAAGGCCUACGGUCGUCACUUCUUUUCUCGGAGAAGAACAAUGACCGGUAUCUGGGAUAAGCAUCGUCUAACGCUGUGCCAGCAGCCGCGGUAAGACGUAGGAUUCAAGCGUUAUCCGGAAUGAUUGGGCGUAAGCUUCUGUAGGUUGCUUUAAGUCUCCGUCAAUCCCAGGGCGCACCCUGGACAGGCGGUGGAAACCUACCAGCUGGAGUACGUUUAUGGGCAUAGGGAAUUUCCGGUGAGCGGUGAAAUCCAUGGAGAUCGGAAAGAACACCAACGGCGAAAGCACUCUGCUGGGCCGACACUGACACUGCGAGACGAAAGCUAGGGGAGCAAAUUGGAUUAGAGACCCCAUAGUCCCUAGCCUUACCGAGGAUGCUAUUUGCUGUGCGACUCACCCGUUCAUUGCUGUAGCUAACGCGUUAAGUAUCCCGCUCUGGGAGUACGUUCGCAAGAAUGAACUCAAGGACGUGACGGGGGCCCCGCCCAAGGCGUGAGCAGGUGUUUUAAUUUCGAUGCAAAGCGAAGAACCUUACCAGGGCUGACGCCGCGAAUCUCUUGAAAGAGGAGUGGUCCCUUCGGGAACGCGCCACGGUGGUGAUGGCUUCGUCAGCUCGUGCCUAAGGUGUUGGGUUAAUUCCCGCAACGAGCGCAACCCUCGUGUUUUAGUUGCCACUAUGAGUUUGGAACCCGAACAGACCGCCGGUGUUAAGCCGGAGGAAGGAGAGGAUGAGCAAAGUCAUCAUGCCCCCUUAUUCCCUGGGCGACACACUUGCUACAAGUGGGCGUGCCAAGGGUCCGCGAUCUCGCGAGGGUGCGCUACUCCAAAAACCGUCCCAGUUCGGAAUUGCCGGCUGCACUCGCCUGCAUGAAGCAUAAGCGCUAGUAAUCGCCGGUCAGCCAUACGCGGUGAAUCCGGGUCCGGCCGUGUACACAACCGCCCGUCACACUAUAUGGAGCUGGCCAGGUUUGACGUCAUUACCCCUACCGUAAGGAAGGGAUGCCUAAGGCUAGGCUUGCGACUGAUGAAGUCGUAACAAUGUAGCCGUACUGGAAGGUGCGGCUG
RNAcentral lists this ribosomal RNA (1415 nucleotides) under Saccharum spontaneum (wild sugarcane). RNAcentral describes it as "bacterial SSU rRNA". It matches the Rfam family "Bacterial small subunit ribosomal RNA". Lineage: Eukaryota; Viridiplantae; Streptophyta; Magnoliopsida; Poales; Poaceae. The record is from RNAcentral.